GUAUAAGUAAAGAUUCCUUGAUUAAUUUAGGGUUAUUUUUAGUUUAGGUUGAGAUGUAUUUUUAUGUCUUGAUUGAUUAUUAGAAAUAAUUUUUAGUUUAUUUAAUUAACGAGUCUUGGUAAUUUUUGAAAACCGGUGUUGAGAUAUAGUUUUGAUUGGUAUUAGUUAAUAGAUUUUAGAUUUAUUGAUAUAAGACUUUUUGGGGUU
This 207-nucleotide unclassified non-coding RNA is filed under the name Piscirickettsia salmonis. RNAcentral's name for it is "partial 16S/23S ribosomal RNA intergenic spacer". The record is from RNAcentral. Lineage: Bacteria; Pseudomonadati; Pseudomonadota; Gammaproteobacteria; Thiotrichales; Piscirickettsiaceae.